UGGNNGAGCAUGUGGUUUAAUUCGAUGCAACGCGAAGAACCUUACCUACUCUUGACAUCCAGAGAAUUCGCUAGAGAUAGCUUAGUGCCUUCGGGAACUCUGAGACAGGUGCUGCAUGGCUGUCGUCAGCUCGUGUUGUGAAAUGUUGGGUUAAGUCCCGCAACGAGCGCAACCCUUAUCCUUGUUUGCCAGCACAUAAUGGUGGGAACUCCAGGGAGACUGCCGGUGAUAAACCGGAGGAAGGUGGGGACGACGUCAAGUCAUCAUGGCCCUUACGAGUAGGGCUACACACGUGCUACAAUGGCGUAUACAGAGGGCUGCAAACUAGCGAUAGUAAGCGAAUCCCACAAAGUACGUCGUAGUCCGGAUUGGAGUCUGCAACUCGACUCCANNAAGUCGGAAUCGCU
This 407-nucleotide ribosomal RNA is filed under the name Photobacterium sp. AZTITEMP138. Its description in RNAcentral is "bacterial SSU rRNA". It matches the Rfam family "Bacterial small subunit ribosomal RNA", at positions 930 to 1336 of the family's 1533-position model. Lineage: Bacteria; Pseudomonadati; Pseudomonadota; Gammaproteobacteria; Vibrionales; Vibrionaceae. The record is from RNAcentral.